Molecule: transfer RNA, 94 nt
Filed under: Salmo salar (Atlantic salmon)
Lineage: Eukaryota; Metazoa; Chordata; Actinopteri; Salmoniformes; Salmonidae
Rfam family: tRNA
About the family: Transfer RNA (tRNA) molecules are approximately 80 nucleotides in length. Their secondary structure includes four short double-helical elements and three loops (D, anti-codon, and T loops). Further hydrogen bonds mediate the characteristic L-shaped molecular structure. tRNAs have two regions of fundamental functional importance: the anti-codon, which is responsible for specific mRNA codon recognition, and the 3' end, to which the tRNAs corresponding amino acid is attached (by aminoacyl-tRNA synthetases). tRNAs cope with the degeneracy of the genetic code in two manners: having more than one tRNA (with a specific anti-codon) for a particular amino acid; and 'wobble' base-pairing, i.e. permitting non-standard base-pairing at the 3rd anti-codon position.
Source: Rfam by way of RNAcentral
GGACCUGUGGCGCAAUCGGUUAGCGUGUGGUACUUAUACAACCGUAUGCCUAUAAACAAUGCUGAGGUUGUGAGUUCAAGCCUCACCAGGAACA